RNAcentral lists this long non-coding RNA (275 nucleotides) under Hordeum vulgare. RNAcentral's name for it is "long non-coding RNA (HVUL_LNC004865)". Lineage: Eukaryota; Viridiplantae; Streptophyta; Magnoliopsida; Poales; Poaceae. The record is from RNAcentral.
UUGAGUAUCUUCUAGUAGUAUUUCUAGUAGUAUUUAGUCAAGCGUGAUUUUUUUGGUAGUAGGACAUCGCCUCGGUCGCUAGAUGAACAUAGGACACAAGUUUUAUAUAGGUUCCGACCCCUUCACGCGGGAAUACCCCUGCUCCUGCUUAUAUGGGGUUAUAUCGAGACAAAGUAUAAAUAUAUAUUACGAUGGGGAUAUCGGCGAGCUGAGAAGUUAUCCCGAGUUCUAGAUGAGCGAUUUUGACGAUCUGGCUAAAGAGACAAAUAUAUAUC